CGUUAUCUCCGUCCCGUCACUGAGCGGAAGAGGGAGAAGAAAGGAAACGAAGAAGAGAUGAGAAAAUAGGCGGGAAAAUCGAGAGUGGCGAGAAUCCUGCCUCCCCCACCAACACGAAAAUUAAUUAACGGUACUCUUCGAUGUUGUGGAAUUCGAUGAAAUUUGUUGUUCAUGGUUUUUGUUUGAAUAAGGCUUCUGGUUCACGACUAUGUAUCGAUUAAUUUGAUUUCCCAUGAAGAGAAUUUGACUAUCCGUAUAGCUGAUGAUAGUGCCAUGAUUUCAUUUGAGCUCAACAUCUACUUGUUUCUUUUUAGGUUGAUUUGGUUUCUGUCCGUGUGAUGUGUUUUGUGUUAGGGAUUUUGAUUUGAUUGUGUGUGGGUUGUUUGUUUGAGAUGAAAUGUGUUGUUGUUUUUCUUCUCUCUUCAGUUAUGGUGAAGAUCAAGUAGAGGGAUUUACGAUCUUACAUGACAACAUCUUUGGGCUAUGUAUGAUAACUGUGCUAUGUGUAAUCUGGACUCAGCCAGACUGAUCUUAAAGCAUACAUAUGUCAUGAACCCAUGUUGGAUCAUUUGGCAAAGGUGAU
Molecule: long non-coding RNA, 583 nt
Filed under: Eutrema salsugineum
Lineage: Eukaryota; Viridiplantae; Streptophyta; Magnoliopsida; Brassicales; Brassicaceae
Description: long non-coding RNA (ESAL_LNC001046)
Source: RNAcentral